GACAGAGGCCUCAAGCGUUAGGCGGAAUCACUGGGCUUAAAGCGUGUGUAGGCGGAUCGUUAAGUGUCUUGUGAAAUCCCACGGCUCACCCGUGGAACGGCUGGGCAUACUGGCGAUCUUGGGCCAACUAGGGGGCAACUGGAACAAGCGGUGGAGCGGUGAAAUGCGUAGAUAUCGCUUGGAACGCCGAAGGUGAAAAACAGUCUGCUGGGGGGGUGUGCCGACGCUGAGACACGAAAAACCAGGGGAGCGAACGGG
RNAcentral lists this ribosomal RNA (258 nucleotides) under uncultured bacterium. Its description in RNAcentral is "partial 16S ribosomal RNA". It matches the Rfam family "Bacterial small subunit ribosomal RNA", at positions 524 to 776 of the family's 1533-position model. The record is from RNAcentral.